RNAcentral lists this ribosomal RNA (164 nucleotides) under Chryseobacterium defluvii. The record is from RNAcentral. Lineage: Bacteria; Pseudomonadati; Bacteroidota; Flavobacteriia; Flavobacteriales; Weeksellaceae.
UAGGGUGGUUUUAGCGGUGGGGCUCACCUGUUCCCAUUCCGAACACAGAAGUUAAGCCCACCAGCGCCGAUGGUACUGCGAAAGCGGGAGAGUAGGUCACCGCCAGUUUUUAUUUUUAAACCUCAUACAGUAAUGUGUGAGGUUUUUUUGUUUUAUAUCCAUAU